GAUGAACAACGUAGCGAAAUGCGAUACGUAAUGUGAAUUGCAAAUUCAGUGAAUCAUCGAGUCUUUGAACGCACAUUGCGCCCCCUGGUAUUCCGGGGGGCAUGCCUGUCCGAGCGUCAUUGCUGCCCUCAAGCACGGCUUGUGUGUUGGGCCCCGUCCUCCGAUCCCGGGGGACGGGCCCGAAAGGCAGCGGCGGCACCGCGUCCGGUCCUCGAGCGUAUGGGGCUUUGUCACCCGCUCUGUAGGCCCGGCCGGCGCUUGCCGAUCAACCCAAAUUUUUAUCCAGGUUGACCUCGGAUCAGGUAGGGAUACCCGCUGAACUUAAGCAUAUCAAUAAGCGGAGGA
Molecule: unclassified non-coding RNA, 345 nt
Filed under: soil metagenome
Description: partial contains 5.8S ribosomal RNA, internal transcribed spacer 2, and large subunit ribosomal RNA
Rfam family: 5.8S ribosomal RNA (bases 1-119)
Source: RNAcentral